UCCGGGGUCGUCUAACGGCAGGACUGCGGCCUUUGGAGCCGCCUAUCGGGGUUCGAAUCCCUGCCCCGGAGCCA
Molecule: transfer RNA, 74 nt
Filed under: Pseudomonadota bacterium
Lineage: Bacteria; Pseudomonadati; Pseudomonadota
Also listed under: 1 other name
Description: tRNA-Gln
Rfam family: tRNA
About the family: Transfer RNA (tRNA) molecules are approximately 80 nucleotides in length. Their secondary structure includes four short double-helical elements and three loops (D, anti-codon, and T loops).
Source: RNAcentral